GAUGAACGCUGGCGGCGCGCCUAACACAUGCAAGUCGAACGAUUAAAGCACCUUCGGGUGUGUAUAAAGUGGCGAACGGCUGAGUAACACGUGGGCAACCUGCCCCUCUCAUUGGGAUAGCCACGGGAAACCGUGGAUAAUACCGAAUACUUCGGGACUUCCGCAUGGAAGACUCGAGAAAGCUCCGGCGGAGAGGGAUGGGCCCGCGGCCUGUUAGCUUGUUGGUGGGGUAAUGGCCUACCAAGGCAAUGAUGGGUAGCUGGGUUGAGAGACCGACCAGCCAGAUUGGGACUGAGACACGGCCCAGACUCCUACGAGAGGCAGCAGUGGGGAAUCUUGCACAAUGGGCGAAAGCCUGAUGCAGCGACGCCGCGUGCGGGAUGAAGGCCUUCGGGUUGUAAACCGCUUUCAGCAGGGACGAGGCGAAAGUGACGGUACCUGCAGAAGAAGCCCCGGCUAACUACGUG
This 467-nucleotide ribosomal RNA is filed under the name uncultured bacterium. RNAcentral describes it as "partial 16S ribosomal RNA". It matches the Rfam family "Bacterial small subunit ribosomal RNA", at positions 28 to 507 of the family's 1533-position model. The record is from RNAcentral.